UAGUCAUAUGCUUGUCUCAAAGAUUAAGCCAUGCAUGUCCUAGUAUAAGCUCUUGAACGGCGAAACUGCGAAUGGCUCAUUAAAACAGUUAUAGUUUAUUUGAUGAUCAUUUACUACGUGGAUAACUGUAGUAAUUCUAGAGCUAAUACAUGCGCAAAAGCCCGACUUUACGGAAGGGCCGUGUUUAUUAGAUACAGAGCCAACCUAGGCCCCGCCUAGAGUUUAUGGUGAUUCAUAAUAACCAAUCGAACCGCUCACGCGGUAUAUCAUUCAAGUUUCUGACCUAUCAGCUUUCGACGGUAGGGUAUUGGCCUACCGUGGCUAUGACGGGUAACGGAGAAUUAGGGUUCGAUUCCGGAGAGGGAGCCUGAGAAACGGCUACCACAUCUAAGGAAGGCAGCAGGCGCGCAAAUCACCCAAUCCUGACAAAGGGAGGUAGUGACAAGAAAUAACAUUUCUGGGCAUUAUUGUCUAGAAAUUUGGAAUGAGUGGACUUUAAAUCACUCCACGAGUAUCAAUU
Molecule: ribosomal RNA, 520 nt
Filed under: uncultured eukaryote
Lineage: Eukaryota
Description: SSU rRNA
Rfam family: Eukaryotic small subunit ribosomal RNA
Source: RNAcentral